This 1538-nucleotide long non-coding RNA is filed under the name Homo sapiens (human). RNAcentral's name for it is "HSALNT0061671". Lineage: Eukaryota; Metazoa; Chordata; Mammalia; Primates; Hominidae. The record is from RNAcentral.
CUCUGUUGCCUGGCUACAACACAGUGUUGCAAACAUUGCUCACUGCAGCCUCAACCUCCAGGGCUUAAGCAAUCCUUCUACCUCAGCCUCUCCUAUGGCUGGGACUGCAGAACCACCAUGCUCUGAAAAAUCCAAAUAAACUGGAGAAAGAGCCAUAUGAGAAGAGCAAAGUCAUGCUGUCCAGUCUCAGCAGACCCCCAGGCUACAGCCAGCAACAAGUGCCAGCCAUGUCAUCCAGAUGUCUUGAAUGUUUCAGCCUCAAUCCUUCAAGUGAACACAGUUCCAGAAAACAGUACAUGAAGAAGAAAGACUAUGCAGCUGUUCUAAGUCAAUCUAAAAAUAAUACCAUAAAGUGACACUUCGGUUUUCAGCCACUAAGUUUUGAGUUAUUUGGUAUGCAGCAAAAACAGAUAAUAGAAAUACAUACAAUUUUCUAAAUAUUCUUCUAUUUUUCUCCAUAGAAUAUUUUUAUAGUCAUGUUAAAUAAUGCAGGGAGCAUGCAAUACUUAAGCAAUUGUUAAAUAAUACAAGUUUUAAUAUAAAUUAAGACAUGAAGUUGAAAAGAGUACAAGCAAGUUUCAAUCCCAAGCCAAGAACAUAAAAACUUCAUCAUGUCUUAUUUCAGGAGUCUAUUGUUACAUGGUAUGAAUAGAGCUAGGAAGAAAUUCAUGAACUAAAAUAUAUAAUCUUGGCAAAAUAUAACACUAAAAUACUAAAAACUAUCAACAAUAUCCUACGGACCGGGCAGAAUUGAACUAGUAAACCUCAAAUACCAGUUAAAAUGUGAACCUGUAGUAUUUAAAUUAUGUCGUUGGACUAUUUCUAAAAAGAUACUAAUAGCAAUCAUUUAUCAAGCAUUUAUAUGAAUUACUGCAGGAGCUCCAUGCACACUCCUUAAGAAAAAAUGAAGAUUUACCAAAUAUGCAAUAUUGUAUUGUACAGUGUAACCCUGUGCUAUUGUCUUCCUCUCUACUGAACGAUCUAAAAUUGUUAUGAUGUGUACACAUUUUACAUUUAUAACAUUCAUUGACAUUUAGUCUAAUUAAUUAUUAGUUCAGCAUGCAUAGUCUAUUUGUAUUAGUCAUGUCCAUAUUUGCAACUCAAAACACAGAAUUAACUUUUCGAAGGCUACGUAGGAGAUGGGAUUCUUUAUUUGGGGGAUGAGGGAAAAAUAUUCUAUAUUUAUCAUAUGCUUUGAAAUGUUUCCAAUGCCUUUAUUUGACUGAUAGAGAUUCUUGUGUGUGUGUGUGUAUUUAUAUCUGUGUGUGAUCAAAAUGUAUGGAGUCAUAAAAAAAAUCCACUACUUAGUUUCAAAUAUUUGAAUGAUCUUUGAAAUUCAUUUAGAAUAAGUUACAUAAUUAAAGCUGCCUUAAUUUUUUUAAACCAAAUAGCCCUUUAUAGAGUUUGCACUGAGAGCUUCUUUGCUUUUCUCUAUUCUUCCUGUAAUGUUCUUGUGAUUAAUUCAAAACCCAUAUGUACUCUCUCAAAUUGUUACAGGUAGUUAGAUAGGCAUGCGUGGGGCAGGAGAGGGCUUUUCC